RNAcentral lists this ribosomal RNA (301 nucleotides) under uncultured bacterium. RNAcentral describes it as "partial 16S ribosomal RNA". It matches the Rfam family "Bacterial small subunit ribosomal RNA", at positions 509 to 809 of the family's 1533-position model. The record is from RNAcentral.
CAGCAGCCGCGGUAAUACGAGGGGGGCGAGCGUUGUUCGGAAUUAUUGGGCGUAAAGCGCGCGUAGGCGGUUUUUUAAGUCUGAUGUGAAAGCCCACGGCUCAACCGUGGAGGGUCAUUGGAAACUGGAAAACUUGAGUGCAGAAGAGGAAAGUGGAAUUCCAUGUGUAGCGGUGAAAUGCGCAGAGAUAUGGAGGAACACCAGUGGCGAAGGCGACUUUCUGGUCUGUAACUGACGCUGAUGUGCGAAAGCGUGGGGAUCAAACAGGAUUAGAGACCCCAGUAGUCCCUGUCUCUUAUCU